CAUGCAAGUCGAACGAUUAAACUUUCCUUCGGGAAAGAUAUAAAGUGGCGCACGGGUGAGUAACACGUAAGUAAUCUACCUUUGGAUGGGGAAUAACAGUCGGAAACGACUGCUAAUACCGCAUAAUGCAGCGGCACCUAAUGGUGACAGUUGUUAAAGUAUUUAUACGUCUGAAGAGGAGCUUGCGGCAGAUUAGCUAGUUGGUAAGGUAACGGCUUACCAAGGCGACGAUCUGUAUCCGACCUGAGAGGGUGGUCGGACACACUGACACUGAAUAACGGGUCAGACUCCUACGGGAGGCAGCAGUCGGGAAUUUUGGGCAAUGGGCGAAAGCCUGACCCAGCAACGCCGCGUGAAGGAUGAAGUCUUUCGGGAUGUAAACUUCGUAAGAAUAGGAAGAAUAAAUGACGGUACUAUUUGUAAGGUCCGGCUAACUACGUGCCAGCAGCCGCGGUAAUACGUAGGGACCAAGCGUUGUUCGGAUUUACUGGGCGUAAAGGGCGCGUAGGCGGCGUGACAAGUCACUUGUGAAAUCUCCGGGCUUAACUCGGAACGGUCAAGUGAUACUGUUGUGCUAGAGUGCAGAAGGGGCAAUCGGAAUUCUUGGUGUAGCGGUGAAAUGCGUAGAUAUCAAGAGGAACACCUGAGGUGAAGACGGGUUGCUGGGCUGACACUGACGCUGAGGCGCGAAAGCUAGGGUAGCAAACGGGAUUAGAUACCCCGGUAGUCCUAGCCCUAAACGAUGAAUACUUGGUGUCUGGAGUUUUAAUUCUCCGGGUGCCGUCGCUAACGUUUU
Molecule: ribosomal RNA, 796 nt
Filed under: uncultured Acidobacteriota bacterium
Lineage: Bacteria; Pseudomonadati; Acidobacteriota
Description: bacterial SSU rRNA
Rfam family: Bacterial small subunit ribosomal RNA
Source: RNAcentral